Molecule: unclassified non-coding RNA, 260 nt
Filed under: Hevea brasiliensis (rubber tree)
Lineage: Eukaryota; Viridiplantae; Streptophyta; Magnoliopsida; Malpighiales; Euphorbiaceae
Source: RNAcentral
UUUUUUUUUUUUUUUUUUUUUGUUGAAAUAAUGGUCCAUCACAAAUAGUUGGACACAACUUUGUUCUUCAAUAAACACAAGUCCACAAUGCCCGAGUUAUCAAUCACAUGUUUCUACUGAUGUUAAUCCUUGAACCAAUCUAUUGAAGACAAACAAGAAUUCCAUCUUCAAUCUACUUGUGGUGAGACACUGCAAAAAUGACAGCAAAUGCUCCAAAAGAAUACAAGUCCAGAUGUUUUCCAAAAACUCUUAUUUGAUAU